Molecule: transfer RNA, 71 nt
Filed under: Zyzomys argurus
Lineage: Eukaryota; Metazoa; Chordata; Mammalia; Rodentia; Muridae
Description: tRNA-Asn
Source: RNAcentral
UAGAUUGAAGCCAGAAUUAGGGUAUUUAGCUGUUAACUAAAAUUUCGUAGGUUUAUAGUCCUGCCAGUCUA